GACGAACGCUGGCGGCGUGCCUAAUACAUGCAAGUAGAACGCUGAAGGAGGAGCUUGCUCUUCUGGAUGAGUUGCGAACGGGUGAGUAACGCGUAGGUAACCUGCCUGGUAGCGGGGGAUAACUAUUGGAAACGAUAGCUAAUACCGCAUAACAGUAGAUGUUGCAUGACAUUUGCUUAAAAGGUGCAAUUGCAUCACUACCAGAUGGACCUGCGUUGUAUUAGCUAGUUGGUGGGGUAACGGCUCACCAAGGCGACGAUACAUAGCCGACCUGAGAGGGUGAUCGGCCACACUGGGACUGAGACACGGCCCAGACUCCUACGGGAGGCAGCAGUAGGGAAUCUUCGGCAAGGGACGGAAGUCUGACCGAGCAACGCCGCGUGAGUGAAGAAGGUUGUCGGAUCGUAAAGCUCUGUUGUAAGAGAAGAACGAGUGUGAGAGUGGAAAGUUCACACUGUGACGGUAUCUUACCAGAAAGGGACGGCUAACUACGUG
Molecule: ribosomal RNA, 495 nt
Filed under: uncultured bacterium
Lineage: Bacteria
Description: partial 16S ribosomal RNA
Rfam family: Bacterial small subunit ribosomal RNA
Source: RNAcentral